GACGAACGCUGGCGGCGUGCUUAACACAUGCAAGUCGAACGGAAAGGCCCUGCUUUUGUUGGGUGCUCGAGUGGCGAACGGGUGAGUAACACGUGAGUAACCUGCCCUUGACUUUGGGAUAACUUCAGGAAACUGGGGCUAAUACCGGAUAGGAGCUCCUGCUGCAUGGUGGGGGUUGGAAAGUUUCGGCGGUUGGGGAUGGACGCGCGGCUUAUCAGCUUGUUGGUGGGGUAGUGGCUUACCAAGGCUUUGACGGGUAGCCGGCCUGAGAGGGUGACCGGCCACAUUGGGACUGAGAUACGGCGCAGACUCCUACGGGAGGCAGCAGUGGGGAAUAUUGCACAAUGGGCGGAAGCCUGAUGCAGCAACGCCGCGUGCGGGAUGACGGCCUUCGGGUUGUAAACCGCUUUCGCCUGUGACGAAGCGUGAGUGACGGUAAUGGGUAAAGAAGCACCGGCUAACUACGUG
Molecule: ribosomal RNA, 468 nt
Filed under: uncultured bacterium
Lineage: Bacteria
Description: partial 16S ribosomal RNA
Rfam family: Bacterial small subunit ribosomal RNA
Source: RNAcentral